AGAGUUUGAUCCUGGCUCAGAUUGAACGCUGGCGGCAUGCUUUACACAUGCAAGUCGGACGGCAGCACAGAGAAGCUUGCUUCUUGGGUGGCGAGUGGCGAACGGGUGAGUAACAUAUCGGAACGUACCGAGUAGUGGGGGAUAACUGAUCGAAAGAUCAGCUAAUACCGCAUACGUCUUGAGAGGGAAAGCAGGGGACCUUCGGACCUUGCGCUAUUCGAGCGGCCGAUAUCUGAUUAGCUAGUUGGUGGGGUAAAGGCCUACCAAGGCGACGAUCAGUAGCGGGUCUGAGAGGAUGAUCCGCCACACUGGGACUGAGACACGGCCCAGACUCCUACGGGAGGCAGCAGUGGGGAAUUUUGGACAAUGGGCGCAAGCCUGAUCCAGCCAUGCCGCGUGUCUGAAGAAGGCCUUCGGGUUGUAAAGGACUUUUGUCAGGGAAGAAAAGGCUGUUGCUAAUAUCAGCGGCUGAUGACGGUACCUGAAGAAUAAGCACCGGCUAACUACGUGCCAGCAGCCGCGGUAAUACGUAGGGUGCGAGCGUUAAUCGGAAUUACUGGGCGUAAAGCGGGCGCAGACGGUUACUUAAGCAGGAUGUGAAAUCCCCGGGCUCAACCCGGGAACUGCGUUCUGAACUGGGUGACUCGAGUGUGUCAGAGGGAGGUAGAAUUCCACGUGUAGCAGUGAAAUGCGUAGAGAUGUGGAGGAAUACCGAUGGCGAAGGCAGCCUCCUGGGAUAACACUGACGUUCAUGCCCGAAAGCGUGGGUAGCAAACAGGAUUAGAUACCCUGGUAGUCCACGCCCUAAACGAUGUCAAUUAGCUGUUGGGCAACUUGAUUGCUUGGUAGCGUAGCUAACGCGUGAAAUUGACCGCCUGGGGAGUACGGUCGCAAGAUUAAAACUCAAAGGAAUUGACGGGGACCCGCACAAGCGGUGGAUGAUGUGGAUUAAUUCGAUGCAACGCGAAGAACCUUACCUGGUCUUGACAUGUACGGAAUCCUCCAGAGACGGAGGAGUGCCUUCGGGAGCCGUAACACAGGUGCUGCAUGGCUGUCGUCAGCUCGUGUCGUGAGAUGUUGGGUUAAGUCCCGCAACGAGCGCAACCCUUGUCAUUAGUUGCCAUCAUUCGGUUGGGCACUCUAAUGAGACUGCCGGUGACAAGCCGGAGGAAGGUGGGGAUGACGUCAAGUCCUCAUGGCCCUUAUGACCAGGGCUUCACACGUCAUACAAUGGUCGGUACAGAGGGUAGCCAAGCCGCGAGGUGGAGCCAAUCUCACAAAACCGAUCGUAGUCCGGAUUGCACUCUGCAACUCGAGUGCAUGAAGUCGGAAUCGCUAGUAAUCGCAGGUCAGCAUACUGCGGUGAAUACGUUCCCGGGUCUUGUACACACCGCCCGUCACACCAUGGGAGUGGGGAUACCAGAAGUGGGUAGGAUAACCGCAAGGGGUCCGCUUACCACGGUAUGCUUCAUGACUGGGGUGAAGUCGUAACAAGGUAGCCGUAGGGGAACCUGCGGCUG
RNAcentral lists this ribosomal RNA (1520 nucleotides) under Neisseria polysaccharea. RNAcentral describes it as "bacterial SSU rRNA". It matches the Rfam family "Bacterial small subunit ribosomal RNA". The record is from RNAcentral. Lineage: Bacteria; Pseudomonadati; Pseudomonadota; Betaproteobacteria; Neisseriales; Neisseriaceae.